ACCGCACCGCACGGUGAGGUCUCCUCCCGCCCUUCUCUGACGCACUUCCCCGGCGUCAGAGCGGGCCGCGGAGGGGGACCUGGUCGGGCGGUGGAGGGCCG
Regulatory RNA element from Actinotalea ferrariae CF5-4, 101 nucleotides. It matches the Rfam family "mraW RNA". Lineage: Bacteria; Bacillati; Actinomycetota; Actinomycetes; Micrococcales; Cellulomonadaceae. The record is from Rfam.